RNAcentral lists this unclassified non-coding RNA (388 nucleotides) under soil metagenome. Its description in RNAcentral is "partial contains 5.8S ribosomal RNA, internal transcribed spacer 2, and large subunit ribosomal RNA". The stretch from base 3 to 121 matches the Rfam family "5.8S ribosomal RNA", at positions 36 to 154 of the family's 154-position model. The record is from RNAcentral.
GAAUGAAGAACGCAGCGAAAUGCGAUAAGUAAUGUGAAUUGCAGAAUUCAGUGAAUCAUCGAAUCUUUGAACGCACCUUGCGCUCCUUGGUAUUCCGAGGAGCAUGCCUGUUUGAGUGUCAUGAAAUUCUCAACCUUUUCAGCUUUCUUUGUUGAUCAGGCUUGGAUGUGGGAGUAUGCGGGCUUCUCAGAAGUCGGCUCUCCUGAAAUGCAUUAGCGGGACCUUUGUUGCCUGGCUUUGGUGUGAUAAUUAUCUACGCCAUUGUAGUCAAGCAGCUUAAAAUGAGGUUUCAGCUUCUAACCGUCUCCCCUGAGACAACUUUUUGACAAUUUGACCUCAAAUCAGGUAGGACUACCCGCUGAACUUAAGCAUAUCAAUAAGCGGAGGA